This 90-nucleotide transfer RNA is filed under the name Alphaproteobacteria bacterium. Its description in RNAcentral is "tRNA-Ser". It matches the Rfam family "tRNA". Rfam says of the family: Transfer RNA (tRNA) molecules are approximately 80 nucleotides in length. Their secondary structure includes four short double-helical elements and three loops (D, anti-codon, and T loops). Lineage: Bacteria; Pseudomonadati; Pseudomonadota; Alphaproteobacteria. The record is from RNAcentral.
GGAGAGGUGGCAGAGCGGUUGAAUGCACCGGUCUUGAAAACCGGCAAGGGCGAAAGUCCUUCGUGGGUUCAAAUCCCACCCUCUCCGCCA